GGAUAGGUCUGGGUAGUUGGAUAGGUCUGGAUAGUUGGAUAGGUCUGGGUAGUUGGAUAGGUCUGGGUAGUUGGAUAGGUCUGGGUAGUUGGAUAGGUCUGGAUAGUUGGAUAGGUCUGGAUAGUUGCAUAGGGCUGGAUAGUUGGAUAGGUCUGGAUAGUUGGGUAGGGCUGGAUAGUUGGGUAGGUCUGGAUAGUUGGGUAGGUCUGGAUAGUUGGAUAGGUCUGGAUAGUUGCAUAGGGCUGGAUAGUUGGAUAGGUCUGGAUAGUUGGAUAGGUCUGGAAAGGUCUGGAUAGUUGGAUAGGUCUGGAUAGUUGGAUAGGUCUGAAUAGUUGGAUAGGUCUGAAUAGUUGGAUAGGUCUCGAUAGUUGGAUAGGUCUGGAUAGAUAGAUAGGUCUGGAUAUGUCUGGAUAGUUGGAUAGGUCUGGAUAGUUGGAUAGGGCUGGAUAGUUGGAUAGGGCUGGAUAGUUGGAUAGGUCUGGAUAGGUGGAUAGUUGGAUAGGUCUGGAUAGGUCUGGAUAGUUGGAUAGGUCUGGAUCGUUGGAUAGGUCUGGAUAGUUGGAUAGGUCUGGAUAGGUCUGGAUAGUUGGAUAGGGCUGGAUAGUUGGACAAGGCUGGAUAGUUGGACAAGGCUGGAUAGUUGGAUAGUUCUGGAUAAGGCUAGAUAGGGCUGGAUAGUUGGAUAGGUCUGGAUAGUUGAUAGUUGGAUAGGUCUGGAUAGUUGGAUAGGUCUGGAUAGUUGGAUAGGGCUGGAUAGUUGGACAGGGCUGGAUAGGGCUGGAUAGUUGGACAAGGCUGGAUAGUUGGACAGGGCUGGAUAGUUGGACAGGGCUGAAUAGUUGGAUAGGUCUGGAUAGUUGGAUAGGUCUGGAUAGGGCUGGAUAGUUGGAUAGGUCUGGAUAGUUGGAUAGGUCUGGAUAGGGCUGGAUAGUUGGAUAGGGCUGGAUAGUUGGAUAGGGCUGGAUAGUUGGAUAGGUCUGGAUAGGUGGAUAGGGCUGGAUAGUUGGAUAGUUC
This is a long non-coding RNA of Oncorhynchus tshawytscha (Chinook salmon), 1014 nucleotides long. NCBI's taxonomy places the organism in Eukaryota, Metazoa, Chordata, Actinopteri, Salmoniformes, Salmonidae. The record is from Ensembl.